This 254-nucleotide ribosomal RNA is filed under the name uncultured bacterium. RNAcentral describes it as "partial 16S ribosomal RNA". It matches the Rfam family "Bacterial small subunit ribosomal RNA", at positions 524 to 776 of the family's 1533-position model. The record is from RNAcentral.
GACGAAGGGGGGCUAGCGUUGUUCGGAAUUACUGGGCGUAAAGCGAGUGUAGGUGGUUGUCCAAGUUGGAUGUGAAAGCCUUGAGCUCAACUCAAGAAAUGCAUUCAGGACUGGGCGGCUAGAGGACCGGAGAGGAUAGUGGAAUUCCCAGUGUAGUGGUGAAAUACGUAGAGAUUGGGAAGAACACCAGUGGCGAAAGCGGCUAUCUGGACGGUUUCUGACACUAAGACUCGAAAGCGUGGGGAGCAAACAGG